Molecule: ribosomal RNA, 317 nt
Filed under: uncultured eukaryote
Lineage: Eukaryota
Description: partial 18S ribosomal RNA
Rfam family: Eukaryotic small subunit ribosomal RNA
Source: RNAcentral
CCCUUAGACGUUCUGGGCCGCACGCGCGCUACACUGACCAGUGCAACAAGCAUCCGUCCUUGGCCGACAGGCCCGGGCAAUCUUUGAACGCUGAUCGUGAUGGGGAUAGACUUUUGCAAUUUUUGGUCUUCAACGAGGAAUUCCUAGUAAACGCAAGUCAUCAACUUGCAUUGAUUACGUCCCUGCCCUUUGUACACACCGCCCGUCGCACCUACCGAUUGAAUGGUCCGGUGAAGCCUCCGGAUUGGCGUGCACCCUCGGGUGCUGCCGAGAAGUUGGCUAAACCUUACCAUUUAGAGGAAGGUGAANUCGUAACA